UCCCUAUGGGGUGCAGCAGGCGCGAAAACUUUACAAUGCGGGCAACCGUGAUAAGGGGACACCGAGUGCCAGCAACAUUUGCUGGCUGUCCACGUGCGUAAAAUACACGUGUUAGCAAGGGCCGGGCAAGACCGGUGCCAGCCGCCGCGGUAACACCGGCGGCCCGAGUGGUGAUCGUUAUUAUUGGGUCUAAAGGGUCCGUAGCCGGUUUGGUCAGUCUUCCGGGAAAUCUGUCAGCUCAACUGAUAGGCUAUCGGGGGAUACUGCUAGACUUGGAACCGGGAGAGGUAAGAGGUACUACAGGGGUAGGAGUGAAAUCUUGUAAUCCCUGUGGGACCACCUGUGGCGAAGGCGUCUUACCAGAACGGGUUCGACGGCGAGGGACGAAAGCUGGGGGCACGAACCGGAUUAGAUACCCGGGUAGUCCCAGCCGUAAACGAUGCUCGCUAGGUGUCAUGCAUGGUGCGACCGUGUAUGGUGCCGUAGGGAAGCCGUGAAGCGAGCCACCUGGGAAGUACGACCGCAAGGCUGAAACUUAAAGGAAUUGGCGGGGGAGCACAACAACGGGUGGAGCCUGCGGUUUAAUUGGAUUCAACGCCGGAA
Molecule: ribosomal RNA, 603 nt
Filed under: uncultured archaeon
Lineage: Archaea
Description: bacterial SSU rRNA
Rfam family: Archaeal small subunit ribosomal RNA
Source: RNAcentral